GACGAACGCUGGCGGCGUGCCUAAUACAUGCAAGUAGAACGCACAGUUUAUACCGUAGCUUGCUACACCAUAGACUGUGAGUUGCGAACGGGUGAGUAACGCGUAGGUAACCUGCCUGGUAGCGGGGGAUAACUAUUGGAAACGAUAGCUAAUACCGCAUAAUAUUAAUUAUUGCAUGAUAAUUAAUUGAAAGGUGCAAUUGCACCACUACCAGAUGGACCUGCGUUGUAUUAGCUAGUAGGUGAGGUAACGGCUCACCUAGGCGACGAUACAUAGCCGACCUGAGAGGGUGAUCGGCCACACUGGGACUGAGACACGGCCCAGACUCCUACGGGAGGCAGCAGUAGGGAAUCUUCGGAAAUGGACGAAAGUCUGACCGAGCAAAGCCGCGUGAGUGAAGAAGGGUGUCGGAUCGUAAAGCUCUGUUGUAAGAGAAGAACGGGUGUGAGAGUGGAAAGUUCACACUGUGACGGUAUCUUACCAGAAAGGGACGGCUAACUACGUG
RNAcentral lists this ribosomal RNA (505 nucleotides) under uncultured bacterium. Its description in RNAcentral is "partial 16S ribosomal RNA". It matches the Rfam family "Bacterial small subunit ribosomal RNA", at positions 28 to 507 of the family's 1533-position model. The record is from RNAcentral.